This 465-nucleotide ribosomal RNA is filed under the name uncultured Klebsiella sp. Its description in RNAcentral is "bacterial SSU rRNA". It matches the Rfam family "Bacterial small subunit ribosomal RNA", at positions 338 to 795 of the family's 1533-position model. Lineage: Bacteria; Pseudomonadati; Pseudomonadota; Gammaproteobacteria; Enterobacterales; Enterobacteriaceae. The record is from RNAcentral.
CCUACGGGCGGCAGCAGUGGGGAAUAUUGCACAAUGGGCGCAAGCCUGAUGCAGCCGUGCCGCGUGUGUGAAGAAGGCCUUCGGGUUGUAAAGCACUUUCAGCGGGGAGGAAGGCGUUAAGGUUAAUAACCUUGGCGAUUGACGUUACCCGCAGAAGAAGCACCGGCUAACUCCGUGCCAGCAGCCGCGGUAAUACGGAGGGUGCAAGCGUUAAUCGGAAUUACUGGGCGUAAAGCGCACGCAGGCGGUCUGUCAAGUCGGAUGUGAAAUCCCCGGGCUCAACCUGGGAACUGCAUUCGAAACUGGCAGGCUAGAGUCUUGUAGAGGGGGGUAGAAUUCCAGGUGUAGCGGUGAAAUGCGUAGAGAUCUGGAGGAAUACCGGUGGCGAAGGCGGCCCCCUGGACAAAGACUGACGCUCAGGUGCGAAAGCGUGGGGAGCAAACAGGAUUAGAUACCCGGGUAGUC